CCUACGGGUGGCUGCAGUGGGGGAUAUUGCACAAUGGGGGGAACCCUGAUGCAGCGACGCCGCGUGUGGGAAGACGGUCCUCUGGAUUGUAAACCACUGUCCCCAGGGACGAAAAUGACGGUACCUGGGGAGGAAGCUCCGGCUAACUACGUGCCAGCAGCCGCGGUAAUACGUAGGGAGCGAGCGGUGUCCGGAAUUACUGGGUGGAAAGGGAGCGUAGGCGGGGAUCCAAGUUGGGUGUCAAAACUACCGGCUCAACUGGUAGUCGCACUCAAAACUGCAGCUCUUGAGUGAAGUAGAGGCAGGCGGAAUUCCUAGUGUAGCGGUGAAAUGCGUAGAUAUUAGGAGGAACACCAGUGGCGAAGGCGGCCUGCUGGGCUUUGACUGACGCUGAGGCUCGAAAGUGUGGGGAGCAAACAGGAUUAGAUACCCCGGUAGUC
This 440-nucleotide ribosomal RNA is filed under the name uncultured bacterium. RNAcentral's name for it is "partial 16S ribosomal RNA". It matches the Rfam family "Bacterial small subunit ribosomal RNA", at positions 338 to 795 of the family's 1533-position model. The record is from RNAcentral.